RNAcentral lists this ribosomal RNA (1476 nucleotides) under Priestia megaterium. RNAcentral's name for it is "bacterial LSU rRNA". It matches the Rfam family "Bacterial large subunit ribosomal RNA", at positions 1 to 1469 of the family's 2925-position model. The record is from RNAcentral. Lineage: Bacteria; Bacillati; Bacillota; Bacilli; Caryophanales; Bacillaceae.
AUGGUUAAGUUAGAAAGGGCGCACGGUGAAUGCCUUGGCACUAGGAGCCGAUGAAGGACGGGACUAACACCGAUAUGCUUCGGGGAGCUGUAAGUGAGCUUUGAUCCGGAGAUUUCCGAAUGGGGAAACCCACUGUUCGUAAUGGAACAGUAUCCUUACCUGAAUACAUAAGGUAUUGAUGGCAGACCCGGGGAACUGAAACAUCUAAGUACCCGGAGGAAGAGAAAGCAAAUGCGAUUUCCUGAGUAGCGGCGAGCGAAACGGAAUUAGCCCAAACCAAGAGGCUUGCCUCUUGGGGUUGUAGGACACUCUAUACGGAGUUACAAAGGAAUGAAGUAAAUGAAGCGACCUGGAAAGGUCCGUCGAAGAAGGUAACAACCCUGUAGUUGAAACUUCGUUCCCUCUUGAGUGGAUCCUGAGUACGGCGGAACACGUGAAAUUCCGUCGGAAUCUGGGAGGACCAUCUCCCAAGGCUAAAUACUACCUAGUGACCGAUAGUGAACCAGUACCGUGAGGGAAAGGUGAAAAGCACCCCGGAAGGGGAGUGAAAAAGAUCCUGAAACCGUGUGCCUACAAGUAGUCAGAGCCCGUUAACGGGUGAUGGCGUGCCUUUUGUAGAAUGAACCGGCGAGUUACGAUCCCAUGCAAGGUUAAGCCGAUAAGGCGGAGCCGCAGCGAAAGCGAGUCUGAAUAGGGCGUUUAGUAUGUGGUCGUAGACCCGAAACCAGGUGAUCUACCCAUGUCCAGGGUGAAGUUCAGGUAACACUGAAUGGAGGCCCGAACCCACGCACGUUGAAAAGUGCGGGGAUGAGGUGUGGGUAGCGGAGAAAUUCCAAUCGAACCUGGAGAUAGCUGGUUCUCUCCGAAAUAGCUUUAGGGCUAGCCUCAUGUUGUAAGAGUCUUGGAGGUAGAGCACUGAUUGGACUAGGGGCCCCCAACGGGUUACCGAAUUCAGUCAAACUCCGAAUGCCAAAGACUUAUCCAUGGGAGUCAGACUGCGAGUGAUAAGAUCCGUAGUCAAAAGGGAAACAGCCCAGACCACCAGCUAAGGUCCCAAAGUAUACGUUAAGUGGAAAAGGAUGUGGAGUUGCUUAGACAACCAGGAUGUUGGCUUAGAAGCAGCCACCAUUUAAAGAGUGCGUAAUAGCUCACUGGUCGAGUGACUCUGCGCCGAAAAUGUAUCGGGGCUAAACGUAUCACCGAAGCUGUGGAUUGACAUCUUAGAUGUCAGUGGUAGGAGAGCGUUCUAAGUGCAGCGAAGUCAGACCGUAAGGACUGGUGGAGCGCUUAGAAGUGAGAAUGCCGGUAUGAGUAGCGAAAGACAAGUGAGAAUCUUGUCCACCGAAUGCCUAAGGUUUCCUGAGGAAGGCUCGUCCGCUCAGGGUUAGUCGGGACCUAAGCCGAGGCUGAAAAGCGUAGGCGAUGGCCAACAGGUUGAUAUUCCUGUACCACCUCCCCGCCGUUUGAGUAAUGGGG